This is a long non-coding RNA of Oncorhynchus keta (chum salmon), 685 nucleotides long. RefSeq lists it as uncharacterized. The transcript has 5 exons. The record is from RefSeq and is a predicted model, not a curated record. NCBI's taxonomy places the organism in Eukaryota, Metazoa, Chordata, Actinopteri, Salmoniformes, Salmonidae.
CAUUGCUGCUAUAACAGCCUCCACUCUUCUGGGAAGGCUUUCCUCUAGAUGUUGGAACAUUGCUGCUAUAACAGCCUCCACUCUUCUGGGAAGGCUUUCCACUAGAUGUUGGAACAUUGCUGCUAUAACAGCCUCCACUCUUCUGGGAAGGCUUUCCACUAGAUGUUGGAACAUUGCUGCUAUAACAGCCUCCACUCUUCUGGGAAGGCUUUCCACUAGAUGUUGGAACAUUGCUGCUAUAACAGCCUCCACUCUUCUGGGAAGGCUUUCCUCUAGAUGUUGGAACAUUGCUGCUAUAACAGCCUCCACUCUUCUGGGAAGGCUUUCCACUAGAUGUUGGAACAUUGCUGCUAUAACAGCCUCCACUCUUCUGGGAAGGCUUUCCACUAGAUGUUGGAACAUUGCUGCUAUAACAGCCUCCACUCUUCUGGGAAGGCUUUCCACUAGAUGUUGGAACAUUGCUGCUAUAACAGCCUCCACUCUUCUGGGAAGGCUUUCCACUAGAUGUUGGAACAUUGCUGCUAUAACAGCCUCCACUCUUCUGGGAAGGCUUUCCACUUGAUGUUGGAACAUUGCUGCUAUAACAGCCUCCUCUCUUCUGGGAAGGCUUUCCACUAGAUGUUGGGACAUUGCUGCUAUAACAGCCUCCACUCUACUGGGAAGGCUUUCCACUUGAUGUUGGAAC